AGAGACCCUAGGUCAGGCGGUAUUACCCGCUGAGUUUAAGCAUAUCAAUAAGCAAAGGAAAAAAAAAACUUGCAAGGAUUCCCUUAGUAACGACGAGCAAACUGGGAAAUGCCCAGCUUGAGAAUUGGGUGCCUACCGUGAGAGUGAGAGCCCCGUCGCGCUUGGACCCUGUCGCACCAUGAGGCACUGGUCUAUGAGUCGGUUUGUUUGGGAAUGCAGCCCAAAUCGGGCGGUAAAUUCUGUCCAAGGCUAAAUAUUCGUGAGGGACCGAUAGCAAACAAGUACAACGAGGGAAAGAUGAAAAGGAAUUUGAGAAAAGAGUGAAAGAGUACUUAAAAUUGUCGGGAGGGAAGCAGAUAGAGGGCGGCAGUGCAUCUUGGUUGGAUGUGGAACGACGCUGAGCCGGUCUGCCAAUCAACUCGAGGCGUUGACCGACGCGGAUUGGGGCGGCGUCGCAAGUCGGGGCCUUUGUUGGUAGCGCGCUCAGUCAUCAGUGCACUACAGGCAUCGGCCUGCGGGCUCCCCAUUUGGCCCUUCUUGAAACACGGACUAAGGAGUCUGACAUGUGUGCGAGUCAAUGGGUGAGAAAACCUGUGAGGCGCAAGGAAGCUAAGUGUCGGGAUCCCCUUGAGGGUUGCACCGCCGACCGUCCUUGAUAUUCUGAGAAGGGUUCGAGUAUGAGCAUGCCUGUCGGGACCCGAAAGAUGGUGAACUAUGCCUGAGCGGGACGAAGCCAGAGGAAACUCUGGUGGAGGCCCGCAGCGAUACUGACGUGCAAAUCGUUCGUUGGACUUGGGUAUAGGGGUGAAAGACUAAUCGAACCGUCUAGUAGCUGCUUCCCUCCAAAGUUUCCCUUAGGAUAGCUGGAGCCCAUGGGCAAGUUCUCUCGGGUAAAGCCAAUGAUUAGAGGCAUCAGGGGCACAACGCCCUCGACCUAUUCUCAAACUUUAAAUAGGUAGGACGGCGCAGCUGCUUUGUUGAGCCUUGCCACGGAAUCGAGAGCUCCAAGUGGGCUAUUUUUGGUAAGCAGAACUAACGAUGCGGGAUGAACCGAAAGCCGUGUUACGGUGCCCAAGUGCACACUAACCUAGAACCCACAAAGGGUGUUGGUCGAUUAAGACAGCAGAACGUUGGUCAUGGAAGUCGAAAUCCGCUAAGGAGUGUGUAACAACUCCCCUGCCGGAUCAGCUAGCCCCAAAAAGGGAUCGCGCUGAAGUGCGCAACCUAUAUCCGGCCGUCGGGCCAAGUAUCAGGCCAUGAUGAGUAGGAGGGCGCGGCAGUUGCCGCAAAACCUGGGGCGCGAGCCCGGGCAGAGGGGCCGUUGGUGCAAAUCUUGGUGGUAGUAGCAAAUAUUCAAAUGAGAACUUUGAAGACCGAAGAGGGGAAAGGUUCCAUGUAAACAACACUUGCACAUGGGUUAGUCGAUCCUAAGAGACAGGGCAAUCCCAUCUGAUAGCGCCCAGCACGGGAGCAUCGAAAGGGAAUCAGGUUAAAAUUCCUGAACCAGGAUGUGGCGGCUGACGACAAUGUUAGGGAGUCCAGAGACAUCGUCGGGGACCAAGUUAUUUUUUCUGUUUAGCAGCUUGCCCACCGUGGAAACGACUCAGCCAGAGGUAGGGUCCUGCGGCUAGAAGAGCACCACACGUCGCGCGUUGUUUGGUACGUCCUCGACGGCCCUUGAAAAUUCGGAGGACAGAGUGCCUCCCACGCCCGGUCAUGGAACAAUGUAGGUAAGGGAAGUCGGCAAAAUGGAUCCAUAACCUCGGUAAAAGGAUUGGCUCUGAGGGCUGGGCAUGGCGGUCCCCGUCUCAAAUCCGUCUGUUGUCGAUGGACUGCUCGAGCUGCUCUCUUGGCGAGAGCUGGUCGUCGCGUGCCGGCCGGGGGACGGACUGAGAACGGCUUCUUUGGGGGCCUUCCCCAGGCAUCAAAAAAUCGACUCAUAACUGGUCAAAGCGGAAUCCGACUGUUUAAUUAAAACAAAGCAUUGCGAUGGUCCUUGCGGAUGCUAACGCAAUGUGAUUUCUACCCAGUGCAAUGAAUGUCAAAGUGAAGAAAUUCAACAAAGCGUGGGUAAACAACAGGAGUAACUAUGACUCUCUUAAAGUAGCCAAAUGCCUCGUCAUCUAAUUAGUGACGCACAUGAAAGGAUUAACAAGAUUCCCACUAACCUUGUCUACUAUCCAGCGAAACAACAGCCAAGGGAACAGGCUUGGCAGAAUCAACGGGGAAAGAAGAGCUUGUUGAGCUUGACUAUAGUCUGACUCUGUGAAAUGACUUGAGAGGUGUAGGAUAAGUGGGAGCCAGAAACGGCAAAAGUGAAAUAACACUACUUUUAACGGAAGCGUGGCAACGCCCCUCGUUUGAUCUUGAUUUCCAGUACGAAUACAAACAGUGAAAGCGUGGCCUAUUAAUCUAUUAGACCUUCAAAAUUUGAAGCUAGAGGUGUCAGAAAAGUUACCACAAGGAUAACUGGCAUGUGGCAGCCAAGCGUUCAUAGCGACGUUGUUUUUUGAUCCUUCGAUGUUGGCUCUUCCUAUCAUUGUGAAGCAGAAUUCACCAAGUGUUGGAUUGUUCACCCACCAAUAGGGAACGUGAGCUGGGUUUAGACAGUCAUGAGACGGGUUAGUUUUACCCUACUGAUGACAGCGUCACAAUAGUAAUUCAACCUAGUAUGAGAGGAACCAUUGAUUCUCAUAAUUGGUCAUCGCGCUUGGUUAAAAAGCCAGUGGCGCAAAGCUACCAUGCGUUGGAUUAUGACUGAACGUCUCUAAGUCAUAAUCUGGGCUAGAAGCGACGCACGCACCUGCCGCCCGAUCGCCGACCAGCAGUAGGGGCCCUCGGCCCCCAAGGGCACGCGUCGUUGGACAAGCCCUCGCAACUGAGCUGUUGCGCGGGCAACCUUGAAGUGUUAUUUCAACCGAGC
This 2923-nucleotide ribosomal RNA is filed under the name Begonia fuchsioides. RNAcentral describes it as "eukaryotic LSU rRNA". It matches the Rfam family "Eukaryotic large subunit ribosomal RNA". The record is from RNAcentral. Lineage: Eukaryota; Viridiplantae; Streptophyta; Magnoliopsida; Cucurbitales; Begoniaceae.